Long non-coding RNA from Rhineura floridana, 1928 nucleotides. RefSeq lists it as uncharacterized. The record is from RefSeq and is a predicted model, not a curated record. NCBI's taxonomy places the organism in Eukaryota, Metazoa, Chordata, Lepidosauria, Squamata, Rhineuridae. The transcript has 3 exons.
CGCGCUGUUCUAUUUACAUGCAGCCAACUAAGCCAACCAAAGUGGUGCUGCCAUGAGGGAUGGGGAGCCGGUCAAGGCAGUUUGUUAUUGUCGAAAAGCUGUACCUUAACAGAGGUUGAUAAGAGAAUCUCGAGCCGAAGGGGAAAACGCGCGAGAGCAUCCCAGUUGCAGCUCACGGGUAUCGGCCGUGAGGUCCCUCAACGACCUUUCAUGACCAAACAGGGGGUGGGGGCGAAAGAGAGUGAACGCGCGCGGCUCUUCACCAGGUUGUUGACCACAAACAAUGGAUGCAGGCACUGAUGGGAAAUCAGAUCGUCGGAAGAAGGGCAGUAUUGGAAAAAAAUACUUCCAAGGAUGAAUAAGGCUACCCCUCUGGAAGUUUAUUUCAAAGGACUUAAUCAAAAAAAGAGAGCUUCUGACAUUGCCUAUUUUGUGUGUAUUCUCAUAUACAAUUCUAUCCUCUCAUCCUGCAUGUGAUGGAUUCUGUAGAUUGGGGAAGCUUUGGGAGCUUUUUUAUAUAUCUUUGGUUAUUGUUGCUUGCAACUGCCGCCUAGUGGUGCCAGUUACACAUCACAAUAACCAAGGACAUCAUCAUCAUCAUAUAAAAACAGUCUCCCAGUGUCUGCAGUUUAUAGAACUUGUGAAAUGAAAGAAUCCCUGAAAGGAGGGAGUGUCUGACACUGUUGGAUAACAACUAAAGUUGAUACUAGCCACUGUUGACAAGUUACUUGGUCAAGCAAAGGACCUAGUUUCAGUUUCAUCAAAAGGAGAAUCCCUACAGAGGAUGCAUUUAUGUAGGCCAAGAGUGCACAACUCAAUAUCAUUCUGAAGUCAGUUUUACAUUUUUUUCUAACUCGAGACUGCAACACUGUGUUACCUGUAAAAAAUAUGGCACUUGACAUUGUGCACCCCAAUGCCCAUGUUAGAUGUCAUUUGGGCAGGCACACAAUUAAUAAAGACAUAGGUUAGCUACCACCAGUGGAGUUUGUGUCUUAGAAAGGCAUUCUGUUUCUUAAUAUCUAGCAAUAAAAAUGGUGGCCAGGUGUACCUGGAAACCCUUCCUCUUAAUCCCCUAUUGUGGGUGCACCAUGUUAUCAAUCAGUGGUGAGGGAAAUACACUCUGCACUUGCUAAGGGACAUUUUUAUCUAUUCUUACUACAUAUGUUCCUAAUGAAAACAUGUGCCUCAGCAGAGCUCUGGCACAAAUUAAACCAUCUCAUUACUAAUUACAGACACUCAUUACCAAUUUAGGCUCCCAUAAAACACAUGCAGAGUUAUUUCAAUAUAGGGCAGCAGGCACAUGCCCAUUUCCAAGCCCAAUGCCCCCUUGCUAGCAGUUAGGCUACAGCUUUAUAGAAUCCCUCAGAGCAGAUAACAACCAACUCUGUUGGAUUUCACAGACCAGACAGGGCUUUUUAAGGGGAGCACUGAGAGCAGUUGCCCUGGGCCUACAUGUGGAGGGACUCACAUAUGAAGAGGCCACAUCAACACUGGCAUUGCUGCUUUGUUGCUACCUUCCAGAAGCAAGAGACCAUGAAAACGUGUCAUCUCCAGUCAUCGCUGCUUUCACCAGUUGAACUGGGUCCCAUUCCCCCCUCAGAGGCCAUCAGCUCCACCUGCCUUUUGAGAAGGAGCAGCAAGACCAUCUGCUCUGGGGGUAAAGGUAUCAGUGUCACCCCUGUGCACCUGCCUACCAUUAUGGGAGUGAAAAGAAGACAGCAGAUUACAGGCUACGUCUCCAAAAGCAAAUGUCUUGCCCUGAAAAUUAAAAAACUUCUGGCUGCAUUAUAUUCACCUUGAAGGCUGGGCCACCACCAGGGUAUUUCUCUGGGACUGCCAAAAUCUGUUUUUUAAACUGCGAGCUGCCCAUUUUCCUUCCAAACUGGUCAUUAUAAAAAGUUUGAAAAAUUAAAGAUUUGGUGCCUGAA